Molecule: long non-coding RNA, 340 nt
Filed under: Carica papaya (papaya)
Lineage: Eukaryota; Viridiplantae; Streptophyta; Magnoliopsida; Brassicales; Caricaceae
Description: long non-coding RNA (CPAP_LNC000943)
Source: RNAcentral
UAGUUCAUAAAAUGUCUCGUUAGACUUUUUAUCUUUGAGAAAUUUCUGUUUCUCCCCUAUCUGAUCUAAAAAAGACAUGAGAUGACUGCUCCCUGUAGAUGAUGGGGCACCCUCUGACGAUAGUGGUAACAUGAUAUGAUUGUAGGGGUCACAUUUGACGAAGUAUAGUCGUGACCAUAGUUUACAUGUAGGAACACUGUGGUUGGGAUGACCCUGGUCUUAGAUUGUGUCAUGGUUUGACAAGUCAUAAAUGUGUUGUUGGUUUGGCAAGCCGCAAAUAAUUGAUAUAAUACAAAAUGAAUUGGUCAUUCCACAUAAGUAGUUGGAAAUUCAUAUCGCC